Molecule: ribosomal RNA, 367 nt
Filed under: uncultured bacterium
Lineage: Bacteria
Description: bacterial SSU rRNA
Rfam family: Bacterial small subunit ribosomal RNA
Source: RNAcentral
AGCGAACGCUAGCGGCGGGCUUAACACAUGCAAGUCGAGCGCCUUUCUUCGGAAAGGAGCGGCGAACGGGUGAGUAACACGUAGGUUACCUGCCCUCUGGUGAGGGACAACCGAUGGAAACGUCGGCUAAUACCACAUAUGGGCUACGGCUCAAAGACUUCGGUCGCCAGAGGAUGGGCCUGCGUCCCAUUAUUUAGUCCUUGUUGGUGGGGUAACGGCCUACCAAGGGUACGAUGGGUAGCUGGUCUGAGAGGAUGAUCAGCCACACUGGGACUGAGACACGGCCCAGACUCCUACGGGAGGCAGCAGUGGGGAAUCUUGCGCAAUGGGCGAAAGCCUGACGCAGCCACGCCGCGUGAGUGAUGAA